RNAcentral lists this ribosomal RNA (507 nucleotides) under uncultured bacterium. Its description in RNAcentral is "bacterial SSU rRNA". It matches the Rfam family "Bacterial small subunit ribosomal RNA", at positions 29 to 516 of the family's 1533-position model. The record is from RNAcentral.
AGCGAACGCUGGCGGCGUGCCUAACACAUGCAAGUCGAACGGUUCUGUUGGGGGCUUGCUCUCGACAGAGUAGUGGCAAACGGGUGAGUAACACGUGGGUAAUCUUCCUUCGAGUGAGGAAUAACUUCGGGAAACCGGAGCUAAUACCGCAUAACAUCUUGGAACGGCAGUUCUAAGAUCAAAGGGGGCGCAAGCUCCCGCUUGAAGUUGAGCUCGCGUCCUAUCAGCUAGUUGGUGAGGUAAUGGCUCACCAAGGCUCCGACGGGUAGCCGGCCUGAGAGGGUGGCCGGCCACACUGGGACUGAGACACGGCCCAGACUCCUACGGGAGGCAGCAGUGGGGAAUAUUGCGCAAUGGACGAAAGUCUGACGCAGCGACGCCGCGUGGGUGAUGAAGGCCUUCGGGUCGUAAAGCUCUGUUUUAGGGGACGAAUGUCGAGAGCAGUAAUAUGGUUCUCGAAUGACGGUACCCUAAGAGGAAGCCCCGGCUAACUACGUGCCAGCACGG